RNAcentral lists this long non-coding RNA (300 nucleotides) under Manihot esculenta (cassava). RNAcentral's name for it is "long non-coding RNA (MESC_LNC000112)". Lineage: Eukaryota; Viridiplantae; Streptophyta; Magnoliopsida; Malpighiales; Euphorbiaceae. The record is from RNAcentral.
AGUAGCCUCUGCUCUGAGGCCCGAGGGGGAAGAGGUCUUUGGUCCCUUCGCUCCUAGGGCUGUCUGUAAGGCUCAGACCUUUUGCCAUGUUUCUUUUCAUGCUUCUCCUGCCUCCUUUCUUCCGGGGCUUUCUCCUUACCUGCCACUCCCUUGGCGAAUCGGCUUGUCACUAGAGCAUCAUCCUGUCUUAUAUACUUCUCAGCCCUCUUCAUUAGCUCGGCCAGUGAGGUCGGAGGCUUCCUGCUUAAUGAGCCGAAGAACUCGGCAGAGGUCGUCCCCUUCUACAUGGCCUCCACCGCC